Molecule: ribosomal RNA, 467 nt
Filed under: uncultured bacterium
Lineage: Bacteria
Description: partial 16S ribosomal RNA
Rfam family: Bacterial small subunit ribosomal RNA
Source: RNAcentral
ACGAACGCUGGCGGCGUGCUUAACACAUGCAAGUCGAACGGAAAGGCCCUGCUUUUGUGGGGUGCUCGAGUGGCGAACGGGUGAGUAACACGUGAGUAACCUGCCCUUGACUUUGGGAUAACUUCAGGAAACUGGGGCUAAUACCGGAUAGGAGCUCCUGCUGCAUGGUGGGGGUUGGAAAGUUUAGGCGGUUGGGGAUGGACUCGCGGCUUAUCAGCUUGUUGGUGGGGUAGUGGCUUACCAAGGCUUUGACGGGUAGCCGGCCUGAGAGGGUGACCGGCCACAUGGGGACUGAGAGACGGCCCAGACGCCUACAGGAGGCAGCAGUGGGGAAUAUUGCACAGUGGGCGGAAGCCUAAUGCAGAAACGCCGCGUGCGGGAUGACGGCCUUGGGGUUGUAAACCGAUUUCGCCUGUGACGAAGCGUGAGUGACGGUAAUGGGUAAAGAAGCACCGGCUAACUACGUG